Molecule: ribosomal RNA, 484 nt
Filed under: uncultured bacterium
Lineage: Bacteria
Description: partial 16S ribosomal RNA
Rfam family: Bacterial small subunit ribosomal RNA
Source: RNAcentral
AUUGAACGCUGGCGGCAGGCCUAACACACGCAAGUCGAGCGGAUGAAGGGAGCUUGCUCCUGGAUUCAGCGGCGGACGGGUGAGUAAUGCCUAGGAAUCUGCCUGGUAGUGGGGGAUAACGUCCGGAAACGGGCGCUAAUACCGCAUACGUCCUGAGGGAGAAAGUGGGGGAUCUUCGGACCUCACGCUAUCAGAUGAGCCUAGGUCGGAUUAGCUAGUUGGUGGGGUAAAGGCCUACCAAGGCGACGAUCCGUAACUGGUCUGAGAGGAUGAUCAGUCACACUGGAACUGAGACACGGUCCAGACUCCUACGGGAGGCAGCAGUGGGGAAUAUUGGACAAUGGGCGAAAGCCUGAUCCAGCCAUGCCGCGUGUGUGAAGAAGGUCUUCGGAUCGUAAAGCACUUUAAGUUGGGAGGAAGGGCAGUAAGUUAAUACCUUGCUGUUUUGACGUUACCAACAGAAUAAGCACCGGCUAACUUCGUG